RNAcentral lists this long non-coding RNA (534 nucleotides) under Linum usitatissimum (flax). RNAcentral describes it as "long non-coding RNA (LUSI_LNC003067)". The record is from RNAcentral. Lineage: Eukaryota; Viridiplantae; Streptophyta; Magnoliopsida; Malpighiales; Linaceae.
UCCGUCCUACUUUAACCAUAAUUCAUUCAUACCUAACAAAAUAGGUAAUGUUAAGAAACUAAAAGAAGAAGAGCAAGAAUAUGAGAGAAGAAGAGUAUUCUUAUUGAUGUGACUCAAACAUACAAGAGUGAGCACUAUUUAUAGGCUCAUGAUACAUAACCCCUAAUGACUAACAUAAUUACACUUGAAUGGGAGAUAAUGGUAUUGAUUCUCAUGGUUAAUGUAUAGGUUACACAAUGGGCAUUCAUGCACCAUAAUAACAAUAUUCAUAACACUCCCCCUUGAAUGUCCAUUGCAUAAGAAUAUAUAUUAUGUUCUUCGAGUACAAUAUUGAUACUGCCUCAUUAAAAACCUUACCAGGAAAACUCAGUGGGAACAAUCAUGGUUAAGGUAAAAAGAGUACAGUUGCGUAUUGACUCCCCCUGAUGAUGACAUCCGUUGAUAUCCUUCACAUCGACUCCCCCUGAUGAGGAUAUCAACUCUCGCUCAUCAUUAUAUCAGUUGAGAUCAUUCAGUCACCAACUCCAAAUUUUC